CGCCCUACGGGGGGCAGCAGUCGAGAAUCAUUCACAAUGGGGGGAACCCUGAUGCAGCGACGCCGCGUGGGUGAAGGAGCGUUUCGGCGCGUAAAGCCCUAUCGGCAGGGAAGAAGGAGGACGGUACCUGACUAAGAAGCCCCGGCUAACUACGUGCCAGCAGCCGCGGUAAUACGUAGGGGGCAAGCGUUAUCCGGAUUUACUGGGUGUAAAGGGGGCGCAGACGGCAGCGCAAGCCAGGAGUGAAAGCCCGGGGCCCAACCCCGGGACUGCUCUUGGAACUGCGCGGCUGGAGUGCAGGAGGG
This 305-nucleotide ribosomal RNA is filed under the name uncultured bacterium. Its description in RNAcentral is "bacterial SSU rRNA". It matches the Rfam family "Bacterial small subunit ribosomal RNA", at positions 335 to 656 of the family's 1533-position model. The record is from RNAcentral.